RNAcentral lists this ribosomal RNA (494 nucleotides) under uncultured bacterium. Its description in RNAcentral is "partial 16S ribosomal RNA". It matches the Rfam family "Bacterial small subunit ribosomal RNA", at positions 28 to 507 of the family's 1533-position model. The record is from RNAcentral.
GACGAACGCUGGCGGCGUGCUUAACACAUGCAAGUCGAACGGUGAAGCGCCUUCCUUUUUGGUGGGUGUGGAUGAGUGGCGAACGGGUGAGUAACACGUGAGUAACCUGCCCCCUUCUUCUGGAUAACUGCAUGAAAGUGUGGCUAAUACGGGAUAUUCUGGGUCUGUCGCAUGAUGGGUCUGGGAAAGAUAUUGUUUCGGUGGGGGAUGGGCUCGCGGCCUAUCAGCUUGUUGGUGGGGUGAUGGCCUACCAAGGCGGUGACGGGUAGCCGGCCUGAGAGGGUGGACGGUCACACUGGGACUGAGACACGGCCCAGACUCCUACGGGAGGCAGCAGUGGGGAAUAUUGCACAAUGGGCGCAAGCCUGAUGCAGCGACGCCGCGUGAGGGAUGGAGGCCUUCGGGUUGUGAACCUCUUUCGCCAGUGAAGCAGGCCUGCCUCGUUUGUGGGUGGGUUGACGGUAGCUGGAUAAGAAGCGCCGGCUAACUACGUG